Molecule: ribosomal RNA, 499 nt
Filed under: uncultured bacterium
Lineage: Bacteria
Description: bacterial SSU rRNA
Rfam family: Bacterial small subunit ribosomal RNA
Source: RNAcentral
AGAGUUUGAUCAUGGCUCAGAUUGAACGCUGGCGGCAGGCCUAACACAUGCAAGUCGAACGGUAACAGGAAUCAGCUUGCUGAUUUGCUGACGAGUGGCGGACGGGUGAGUAAUGUCUGGGAAACUGCCUGAUGGAGGGGGAUAACUACUGGAAACGGUAGCUAAUACCGCAUAACGUCGCAAGACCAAAGAGGGGGACCUUCGGGCCUCUUGCCAUCGGAUGUGCCCAGAUGGGAUUAGCUAGUAGGUGGGGUAACGGCUCACCUAGGCGACGAUCCCUAGCUGGUCUGAGAGGAUGACCAGCCACACUGGAACUGAGACACGGUCCAGACUCCUACGGGAGGCAGCAGUGGGGAAUAUUGCACAAUGGGCGCAAGCCUGAUGCAGCCAUGCCGCGUGUAUGAAGAAGGCCUUAGGGUUGUAAAGUACUUUCAGCGGGGAGGAAGGGAGUAAAGUUAAUACCUUUGCUCAUUGACGUUACCCGCAGAAGAAGCACCGG